Molecule: ribosomal RNA, 1419 nt
Filed under: Mycolicibacterium sp.
Lineage: Bacteria; Bacillati; Actinomycetota; Actinomycetes; Mycobacteriales; Mycobacteriaceae
Description: bacterial SSU rRNA
Rfam family: Bacterial small subunit ribosomal RNA
Source: RNAcentral
CCUGGCGGCGUGCUUACCAUGCAGUCGAACGGUAAGGCCCUUCGGGGUACACGAGUGGCGAACGGGUGAGUAACACGUGGGUGAUCUGCCCUGCACUUUGGGAUAAGCCUGGGAAACUGGGUCUAAUACCGAAUAUGACCUUGGGAUGCAUGUCCUUUGGUGGAAAGCUUUUGCGGUGUGGGAUGGGCCCGCGGCCUAUCAGCUUGUUGGUGGGGUGAUGGCCUACCAAGGCGACGACGGGUAGCCGGCCUGAGAGGGUGACCGGCCACACUGGGACUGAGAUACGGCCCAGACUCCUACGGGAGGCAGCAGUGGGGAAUAUUGCACAAUGGGCGCAAGCCUGAUGCAGCGACGCCGCGUGAGGGACGACGGCCUUCGGGUUGUAAACCUCUUUCAGCACAGACGAAGCGCAAGUGACGGUAUGUGCAGAAGAAGGACCGGCCAACUACGUGCCAGCAGCCGCGGUAAUACGUAGGGUCCGAGCGUUGUCCGGAAUUACUGGGCGUAAAGAGCUCGUAGGUGGUUUGUCGCGUUGUUCGUGAAAACUCACAGCUCAACUGUGGGCGUGCGGGCGAUACGGGCAGACUGGAGUACUGCAGGGGAGACUGGAAUUCCUGGUGUAGCGGUGGAAUGCGCAGAUAUCAGGAGGAACACCGGUGGCGAAGGCGGGUCUCUGGGCAGUAACUGACGCUGAGGAGCGAAAGCGUGGGGAGCGAACAGGAUUAGAUACCCUGGUAGUCCACGCCGUAAACGGUGGGUACUAGGUGUGGGUUUCCUUCCUUGGGAUCCGUGCCGUAGCUAACGCAUUAAGUACCCCGCCUGGGGAGUACGGCCGCAAGGCUAAAACUCAAAGAAAUUGACGGGGGCCCGCACAAGCGGCGGAGCAUGUGGAUUAAUUCGAUGCAACGCGAAGAACCUUACCUGGGUUUGACAUGCACAGGACGCCGGCAGAGAUGUCGGUUCCCUUGUGGCCUGUGUGCAGGUGGUGCAUGGCUGUCGUCAGCUCGUGUCGUGAGAUGUUGGGUUAAGUCCCGCAACGAGCGCAACCCUCGUCCUAUGUUGCCAGCACGUCAUGGUGGGGACUCGUAGGAGACUGCCGGGGUCAACUCGGAGGAAGGUGGGGAUGACGUCAAGUCAUCAUGCCCCUUAUGUCCAGGGCUUCACACAUGCUACAAUGGCCGGUACAAAGGGCUGCGAUGCCGUGAGGUGGAGCGAAUCCUUUCAAAGCCGGUCUCAGUUCGGAUCGGGGUCUGCAACUCGACCCCGUGAAGUCGGAGUCGCUAGUAAUCGCAGAUCAGCAACGCUGCGGUGAAUACGUUCCCGGGCCUUGUACACACCGCCCGUCACGUCAUGAAAGUCGGUAACACCCGAAGCCGGUGGCCUAACCCCUCGUGGGAGGGAGCCGUCGAAGGUGAUUCC